Molecule: ribosomal RNA, 253 nt
Filed under: uncultured bacterium
Lineage: Bacteria
Description: partial 16S ribosomal RNA
Rfam family: Bacterial small subunit ribosomal RNA
Source: RNAcentral
UACGGAGGGAGCUAGCGUUGUUCGGAAUUACUGGGCGUACAGCGCGCGCAGGCGGCUGGGUAUGUGCUGGGUGACAGCCUCGCGCUUAACGCGGGGUGGCCCCGGUAGACAGCCUGGCUAGAGGCAGGGAGAGGGAUGUGGAAUGCCCGGUGGAGCGGUGAAAUGCGUAGAGAUCGGGCGGAACACCAGCGGCGAAGGCGGCAUCCUGGCCCUGACCUGACGCUGAGGCGCGAUAGCGUGGGGAGCAAACGGG